Molecule: non-coding RNA, 986 nt
Organism: Paramuricea clavata
Lineage: Eukaryota; Metazoa; Cnidaria; Anthozoa; Malacalcyonacea; Plexauridae
Source: the annotation of a GenBank genome assembly
GGUUUACUGUUACGCACGCCAGGGUUGGAAACUUGUGGCUCGCUUCUCUAACCAGGAUCGAAAACAUUGGGUACUAGAUGAAAACUUUUGGUUUGACAGAAUUUCUACCUACGGCGCAACCCUAAAUCCUUCGGACAACCAGGAUAUGAUUUCCGAAGCAUUUUGGAGAACAUCAGCAAGUGAAAUAAGAAUUACCAGGAGUGAUGAUCCAACACAUACCGCGUUGCUGGAAACUACCAACAAUUGCCUCAAGGGAAACACAUUUCGGCGAUUUAUAACUUCGUUUGGAAACUUUCGCUACGGGUAUGUUUGGGCAAGUGAUAAGUCUCUGAGUAGUUGUACGAUCAAAUAUGGUGGACAAUAUCAGAGCACGACUGGAUUCAAUAUGUAUGGGUGCAGUGGUGAGAUUCAAAGCAGUAACUCUAUCGGAUUUUGGUGUGAUUGGGAUCACGGAGAUGGUGCAGUGAUGAUGAUUGGAGGAGGUGGAAGCUCGUGCAAUAGAGCGGAUCAUGGCAUUGGAAUUACUGAAGAACAGGAAGCAAAGUUUGGUGGUAGCAAAGAUUCCCUAGACUUCGGCUACGAGCCUGCAGCGAGCGACGACUACGACGAAAGUAGCACUCAAAAAUUAUACUCUUUGAAUUUGUGGGUGUGAUAAACAUUGGAUUUCAUCAUACUAACGCUUAUACCUUACUUACAUUUAUUAAUAUCUUGUUACAUGGUCAUUACAUCGAACUUGCUCAUGCAAUAGAGCUUACUUAAUUAGCAAUUAUUUUAAUUUUAAGAAGAAUAUAUCUCAACGUGCAACCAGGCAAAGUGAACAUCUUCACCUGCCUAGAAUUAGAACAGAAUCUGCAAAACGUAGUUUCUACUAUAAUGGCUGUAAAAUAUAUAAUAAACUUAAACAGUGCCAAUGACUUUCUAAUUUAGUAUAGAAUUUUUAGCUAUAAUCUUUUAGCUCGUAUUGAACUUGAAUUUAAAUUAUAGAA